AACCAUUGGAAACGAUGGCUAAUACCGCAUACGCCCUAUUGGGGAAAGAUUUAUCGGUGUUGGAUUGGCCCGCGUUAGAUUAGCUAGUUGGUGGGGUAAUGGCUCACCAAGGCGACGAUUUAUAGCUGGUUUGAGAGGAUGAUCAGCAACACUGGAACUGAGACACGGUCCAGACUCCUACGGGAGGCAGCAGUCGGGAAUAUUGUGCAAUGGGGGCAACCCUGACACAGCCAUGCCGCGUGAGUGAAGAAGGCCUUAGGGUUGUAAAGCUCUUUCAGAUGUGAGGAUGAUGACGAUAGCAUCAGAAGAAGCUCCGGCUAACUUCGUGCCAGCAGCCGCGGUAAUACGAAGGGAGCUAGCGUUGUUCGGAAUUACUGCGCCGUAAGGGCGUG
RNAcentral lists this ribosomal RNA (392 nucleotides) under uncultured bacterium. Its description in RNAcentral is "bacterial SSU rRNA". It matches the Rfam family "Bacterial small subunit ribosomal RNA", at positions 145 to 571 of the family's 1533-position model. The record is from RNAcentral.